Mobula hypostoma (lesser devil ray) is the source of this 364-nucleotide long non-coding RNA. RefSeq lists it as uncharacterized. The record is from RefSeq and is a predicted model, not a curated record. NCBI's taxonomy places the organism in Eukaryota, Metazoa, Chordata, Chondrichthyes, Myliobatiformes, Myliobatidae. The transcript is spliced from 3 exons.
UGCUGUUCUUUGGGACAGAAGGGCCUGAUCCCCAAUGUAUUUCUGAAUAAGAUAAAAAAAAAGGUCCUGUCUUCCUGAUCAGUUGUAAUCCCUGUGGCUUGAUCCAUGUUCCAAUCAGAAAAAAAUGAAAAGAAAACAAAUACAUCAGGAAAACAAAGAGAAAAGAAAACAACAGGAAUUCUGCAGAUGCUGGAAAUUCAAGCAACAUACAUCAAAGUUGCUGGUGAACGCAGCAGGCCAAGCAGCAUCUAUAGGAAGAGGCGCAGUCGACGUUUCAGGCCGAGACCCUUCGUCAGGACUAACUGAAGGAAGAGAAGUUCAGGAGACAGGGAACAGGUCUGUUGUCAAGGGAGAACAGCAAAGG